RNAcentral lists this ribosomal RNA (551 nucleotides) under Rhodotorula taiwanensis. Its description in RNAcentral is "LSU rRNA". It matches the Rfam family "Eukaryotic large subunit ribosomal RNA", at positions 96 to 663 of the family's 3401-position model. Lineage: Eukaryota; Fungi; Basidiomycota; Microbotryomycetes; Sporidiobolales; Sporidiobolaceae. The record is from RNAcentral.
AAGCGGGAAGAGCUCAAAUUUAUAAUCUGGCACCUUCGGUGUCCGAGUUGUAAUCUCUAGAAGUGUUUUCCGCGUUGGACCGCAACAAGUCUGUUGGAAUACAGCGGCAUAGUGGUGAGACCCCCGUAUAUGGUGCGGACGCCCAACGCUUUGUGAUACACUUUCGAAGAGUCGAGUUGUUUGGGAAUGCAGCUCAAAUUGGGUGGUAAAUUCCAUCUAAAGCUAAAUAUUGGCGAGAGACCGAUAGCGAACAAGUACCGUGAGGGAAAGAUGAAAAGCACUUUGGAAAGAGAGUUAACAGUACGUGAAAUUGUUGGAAGGGAAACGCUUGAAGUCAGACUUGCUUGCCGAGCAAUCGGUUUGCAGGCCAGCAUCAGUUUUCCGGGGUGGAUAAUGGUAGAGAGAAGGUAGCAGUUUCGGCUGUGUUAUAGCUCUCUGCUGGAUACACCUUGGGGGACUGAGGAACGCAGUGUGCCUUACGGCGGAUUUCUCGAGAUCUUCACACUUAGGAUGCUGGUGGAAUGGCUUUAAACGACCCGUCUUGAACCACC